AACCUCGUCAAGUCACAAAAACCCUGUGGGAGAAAAACUGAACCUUGAUCGUAGGAGAAAAAGAGUACAACGCACCUUUCACAUUUGAUAGUGACAUGUAUGUAUGUGCUAGACUCCCCCUGAAGUUCGCACCUCCCCCUGAUCUUUACAUCAAUCAUAGGGCUCUUCCUGAUUCUUACUAAUCAUGGAAGUUUCAAAAACUUAGCAUGUCAAUGCUCUUUAACAUGUCUUCAAAUGUGGCAUUAGACAAUGAUUAACUAAAUCAUGCCGUAUUGUCCUCAAAUGAUCUUUUACACUUAGAUCUUGAGGAGAAGGUCGCUUGUGAACUCAAAACAUAAGUUCGUGCAGGAAAUCAGGUUUCCGCGCAGCAUGACCUUCAAUUACUAGAAUAGUCGUAACUUCCUCUAGGAAAUACAUAUGAACGAAUCGUAAACGGUUUUGGAAACUAGACUCAUUUAGCUUUCCAACCGUAUAUUACACACAUUCUGGUUCAUCAGGAGCUGUUCACAAAAUCCCGUCGAAGUUGACUGUUUUGCCAAAAUCAGAUUCUCGGACAGAUUCGUCCUACUUUACGAAAACGGCCAUAACUCACUCAAUAUGAUAGGUAUGAUCAAAUGGUUGGUGUCCCUGGAAAGUAGACACAUAGACCUUUCCAAUGGUACCAAUUUCACCAUUUUCCAGUGAGUGAGAUUUUCUAUAGGUCCCGUGGAAGUUGACCUAUAAAACUUGGCAGAUUCUGAUUUCGCUUUUGAUGUGUCUUUCUUAUGUAGGGAUAAAAUAAGCCUCAACCUUUCAUACUAUUAAGUAUUGAAAAAAGGAGUUACUGUCAUUACAUUGGCGUUGCGUGGGCGCAUAGCUACACUUAGCUUUACAACUUUUCAUAGCGAUAGAGAUGUCAAGUCUUUCGUAUUGUGUUGAGUACAUUGAUGCGUCUUAUUGUACUUAGAUGGGAACUCCAUCUCUUAACACAUAUUUGUCAUCUUGCUUUAGACAAAACAACGGAUCUCUCUUUAGAGCAAAGACCUUGACUAAUCAUGGAAGUAUAUGUAGGCCUCACUAGUUAUAGAGCGCCUAAGCCGAUUGAUCAUCAAUACAGUCAUCUUAUCGAGACUGUGUCUUCCCAAGAUCUUUUUCUUCGGAUGUUAAUACAUAUUGGCAUCUCUUGAUCCAUCAAGAAUCCAUCUAAAUCCGGAAUGAACAUGCAAAGGCAUAAUUCACCAUAUCCCUUCCAAAUCAAGUAGAAUCCAUGUGCGUUUCAAUAGCUUUAGCAAACGUGUGCUACUGUGGUCUGGAGCCACUUGAUUCGGAUGAAUGAAGUCCGUUUAAGACCUUCAUGUAUAUCUCUGAUCCUGUAGAGAUGUUAUUAUGACCACAUUCAUAGGCUGUAUGUUCAGUUAUUCGGAAACUACCAAACUGACAAAGUAGUGGAGUUCAAUGACAUCUAUUACGAGAGCAUAUCUCAUCGUAGUUGAUCCCAGUGCGUGUUAGUGAGAGACCUUGCGCCAUAAGGUGAGUCUAAGCUCUUGUUCUCACUACGCUAUCUAACAAAGGUAUAGUUGAUAGGGUUUAGCUUGCGGUGUCGGCAUCACCUGUCCAAGGACCUAUCUCUUUGUUAAUGCUGGAUCGCAUCUUUCCAUUAGGCCAAUCAACUAAGUUGAUAUCCAUCAACGAAUGGUGGUUCGAUAGUAGACUCAUUAUCUCACGUCC
Molecule: long non-coding RNA, 1707 nt
Filed under: Fragaria vesca (wild strawberry)
Lineage: Eukaryota; Viridiplantae; Streptophyta; Magnoliopsida; Rosales; Rosaceae
Description: long non-coding RNA (FVES_LNC004165)
Source: RNAcentral